UCACCAUUCACUUCUUCAUCUUCUCCCUCCAUCUUCUUCUUCUUCUUCUUCUUCUUCAUAUUAACAUCUUCACUCACCCCUCCUACUUCAACACCUUCUUUCUCUUCUUCAACUACUGCUUUGCUUGGACCCUCUUCUAUCUUUUGCCAACCUUUUUCCUCCUUGACUUUGACCUCAACUUCUUCUUCUUCAGUUGUAGAGUGAUUGAUUUAUGGGAUAUGAUUGUGUCCAUUAAUAUUGUUGCAUUUUGUUGGUUACUAUUCUCAUCCUCAUCAUGUUUCUCUUCUUUGGAAGCUUCUACUUCUGGCACUGUAGGAAUUAACUUCGCAUCAAUCAUCAUUGUUAACAUGAACGGGAAACUGAUGAUCAGAUUCCUCAACCUUAUGAUCAUGAUCAUGAUAACUUUCAUGUUCAGAUUCAACAUGAGCUUCAACAUGUAAACCUUCUGUAGUAGUUUCAGCUAUAGUAGUACUCUUUUCAGCAUUGGUUGAUUUAGCAGAAGAAAAAACAUCAUCAUGUACCAUCUUAGUGGUUGUUGAAGUAGCAGUAGGACUUGGGCUUAUCAAAAGAUCUUCUGUUUACACUAGGCUUUUUUGGGGCUUCACUCUUAAUAAGAUUGAAGGAGUGAGACUCAACUAGGCGUGACCUUAUUAUUGUGGGGCUUGAGAUAGUUUAGGACUGGUUUUUCUGUUGUUGGGUUUGAGGUUGUUGCCUUAUGUAUUGGGUUUGUUGUUGUGGAUGGUUUUGUGCACUUUUUUGUUCUUGUGAUAGAACAAGUGGCCUUCUUCUCCUUACCAACAACUUUACUCUCUUUUGCCUUCUUCUCCUUAUCAACAGCUUUACUCUCUUUUGCUUUUGUUGCCAUGUGAAUAAGGGUAUUAAUCUCAAGGAUAUCUUUUUACAGUUUGGG
This 910-nucleotide long non-coding RNA is filed under the name Lupinus mutabilis. Its description in RNAcentral is "partial ncRNA". Lineage: Eukaryota; Viridiplantae; Streptophyta; Magnoliopsida; Fabales; Fabaceae. The record is from RNAcentral.